Molecule: ribosomal RNA, 500 nt
Filed under: uncultured bacterium
Lineage: Bacteria
Description: partial 16S ribosomal RNA
Rfam family: Bacterial small subunit ribosomal RNA
Source: RNAcentral
AUUGAACGCUGGCGGAAUGCUUUACACACGCAAGUCGAACGGCAGCACGGACUUCGGUCUGGUGGCGAGUGGCGAACGGGUGAGUAAUGUAUCGGAACGUGCCCAGUCGUGGGGGAUAACGUAGUGAAAAUUACGCUAAUACCGCAUACGAUCUAUGGAUGAAAGCGGGGGAUCGCAAGACCUCGCGCGAUUGGAGCGGCCGAUAUCAGAUUAGGUAGUUGGUGGGGUAAAGGCCCACCAAGCCAACGAUCUGUAGCUGGUCUGAGAGGACGAGCAGCCACACUGGAACUGAGACACGGGCCAGACUCCUACGGGAGGCAGCAGUGGGGAAUUUUGGACAAUGGGCGAAAGCCUGAUCCAGCCAUUCCGCGUGCAGGAUGAAGGCCCUCGGGUUGUAAACUGCUUUUGUACAGAACGAAAAGGUUUCUACUAAUACUAGGAGCUCAUGACGGUACUGUAAGAAUAAGCACCGGCUAACUACGUGCCAGCCGCCGCCGUAA